UAGGGAAUCUUCCGCAAUGGGCGAAAGCCUGACGGAGCAACGCCGCGUGAGUGAUGAAGGUCUUCGGAUCGUAAAACUCUGUUAUUAGGGAAGAACAAAUGUGUAAGUAACUAUGCACGUCUUGACGGUACCUAAUCAGAAAGCCACGGCUAACUACAUGCCAGCAGCCGCGGUAAUACGUAGGUGGCAAGCGUUAUCCGGAAUUAUUGGGCGUAAAGCGCGCGUAGGCGGUUUUUUAAGUCUGAUGUGAAAGCCCACGGCUCAACCGUGGAGGGUCAUUGGAAACUGGAAAACUUGAGUGCAGAAGAGGAAAGUGGAAUUCCAUGUGGAGCGGUGAAAUGCGCAGAGAUAUGGAGGAACACCAGUGGCGAAGGCGACUUUCUGGUCUGUAACUGACGCUGAUGUGCGAAAGCGUGGGGAUCAAACAGG
This 429-nucleotide ribosomal RNA is filed under the name Actinomycetes bacterium. RNAcentral describes it as "Actinobacteria bacterium partial 16S ribosomal RNA". It matches the Rfam family "Bacterial small subunit ribosomal RNA", at positions 355 to 776 of the family's 1533-position model. The record is from RNAcentral. Lineage: Bacteria; Bacillati; Actinomycetota; Actinomycetes.